Molecule: ribosomal RNA, 1026 nt
Filed under: Triticum aestivum (bread wheat)
Lineage: Eukaryota; Viridiplantae; Streptophyta; Magnoliopsida; Poales; Poaceae
Description: partial small subunit ribosomal RNA
Source: RNAcentral
AUAUGUGAAUCCAUUGUGAGCUUUGGCCCUAGAUUUGAGCCGCCUUCUAAACAUGACCUUCAAGAGACUUUGCUGAGUGAUGAACAUGCAAGAGUGAAGAGUUUGCUACAGGAACAUGAUGUUGAAAAGAUGAAGAAUGGCUGCUCCAUUAUGACUGGUGCUUGGUCUGAUAGGAAGAGGAGAAGCAUAAUCAACUUGAGCACAAAUUGUGCGGAUGGUUCAACCUUUCUAAGGUCGAGUGAGAUGGAUGUUGUAUCACACACAAGUGAGGUCAUCUUCGAACUAGUGGAUGAAGCAAUUGAGGAAGUCGGUCCUGAAUUUGUGGUGCAAGUAGUGACUGAUAAUGCAUCUAAUAACAUGGGAGCAAAGAAGAUGUUGGAGAAGAGGCCAAACAUGUUUUGGAGCUCUUGUUCGACGCACACGAUUAACUUGAUGUUGCAAGGGAUUGGUAAUCUGCCAAGGUUUCUUAAGGUGCAUGAAAAAACAAAAUCAUUCACUAUCUUUGCCUAUGGGCACACACAGACCUUGGACUACAUGAGGAACUUCUCUUCAGGGAAAGAGAUCAUAAGGCCAAGGGUCACUAGGUUUGCUUCUUCUUAUCUAACUUUGGAGAGCCUUCCAGGCAAAAAGGAUCAGUUGAGGAAGAUGGUGGUUGAUGGUAGGUGGGAUAGGCUGAGAGAAGUUAAAUCAGAAAAGGGAAAGGUAGCAACUGCCAUGACGAUGAGCAUGUCUUUUUCGAAAGAUUUGAAGCUUUUGCUGAAUGUCUUUGAGCCUUUGGUUAACGUUUUUUGUUUGGUUGAUGGGGAUGUUAAGCCAUAUAUGGGUUUUGUGAAUGGAUAAAUAGUUAAGGCAAAGAAAUAGAUCAAGGAAGUCUAUGGCAAUGUGGAGUCCCGUUAGAAAGAUGUGAUUGAUAUUGUUGAGAAUACGAUGAAAGAUCGACUUGACUCCCCAUUGCACUUGGCUACAUACUUACUAAAGCCAUAUUAUAUGACAAGGGGUGGCCCGAUCUUCUCAAUGUGCGGAUGA